Molecule: ribosomal RNA, 861 nt
Filed under: uncultured archaeon
Lineage: Archaea
Description: bacterial SSU rRNA
Rfam family: Archaeal small subunit ribosomal RNA
Source: RNAcentral
UACCCGCGGCCCGAGUGGUGCUCAUUAUUAUUGAGCCUAAAGCGUCCGUAGCUGGCCGGGCAAAUUUCCGGGUAAAUCGGGCCGCUCAACGGUCCGAAUUCCGGAGACACUGCUCGGCUUGGGAUCGGGAGAGGGUGAAGGUACUCCCGGGGUAGGGGUAAAAUCCUGUAAUCCUGGGGGGACCACCAGUGGCGAAGGCGUUCACCUAGAACGAAUCCGACAGUGAGGGACGAAGCCCUAGGGCGCAAACGGGAUUAGAUACCCCGGUAGUCUAGGGUGUAAACGCUGCAGACUUGGUGUUGGGGGUCCUGCGUGGGCUCCCAGUGCCGGAGCGAAGGUGUUGAGUCUGCCGCUUGGGGAGUACGGUCGCAAGACUGAAACUUAAAGGAAUUGGCGGGAGAGCACCGCAACGGGAGGAGCGUGCGGUUCAAUUGGAUUCAACGCCGGAAAACUCACCGGAGGCGACGGAGGGAUGAAAGCCAGGCUGAAGACCUUGCCCGAUUCUCCGAGAGGUGGUGCAUGGCCGUCGUCAGUUCGUACCGUAAGGCGUUCUGUUAAGUCAGAUAACGAACGAGACCCUCGCCGUUAGUCGCGAUCUUACAAGCGAUUGUAGGAGCACACUAGCGGGAUCGCUGCCGUUAAGGCAGAGGAAGGAGAGGUCUACGGUAGGUCCGUAUGCCCCGAAUCUUCCGGGCAACACGCGCGCUACAAAGGUGGGGACAAUGGGACCCGACCUCGAAAGGGGGAGGCAAUCCUGAAACCCCAUCGUAGUCUGGAUCGAGGGCUGUAACUCGCCCUCGUGAAAAUGGAUUCCGUAGUAAUCGCGGGUCAACAUCCCGCGGUGAAUGUGCCCCUGCUCUU